CCUAAGCAUGACAACACACGCCGACAAUAUUACUUCCAAAAUGCCUCAGCUAUGUGAGAUUGAUCGCAUAACCCAAUACACGAGGCAACCCUCGGAUCGAAUUGUCGAUUAUAUCUCUACCUAUUCAUAAGUUCACUCAGCCCGGGUAUAGGACUUUUGAUAUUCUCACCCCACACGUCAAAUGAAGAUAAACAAGUAUUCACAUAUGUAAGCAAU
Molecule: long non-coding RNA, 216 nt
Filed under: Medicago truncatula (barrel medic)
Lineage: Eukaryota; Viridiplantae; Streptophyta; Magnoliopsida; Fabales; Fabaceae
Description: long non-coding RNA (MTRU_LNC003319)
Source: RNAcentral